RNAcentral lists this ribosomal RNA (818 nucleotides) under uncultured Pseudomonadota bacterium. Its description in RNAcentral is "bacterial SSU rRNA". It matches the Rfam family "Bacterial small subunit ribosomal RNA", at positions 71 to 868 of the family's 1533-position model. Lineage: Bacteria; Pseudomonadati; Pseudomonadota. The record is from RNAcentral.
AAAGUGGAGCAAUCCAUGAGUAGAGUGGCAAACGGGUGAGUAACACGUGGGUGACCUGCCCUCGAGCGGGGGAUAACGUCCCGAAAGGGACGCUAAUACCGCAUAACAUCCUGCCUUUGAACAGGUGGAGAUCAAAGCUGGGGAUCGCAAGACCUAGCGCUCGAAGAGGGGCCCGCGCCUGAUUAGCUAGUUGGUGAGGUAAUGGCUCACCAAGGCAACGAUCAGUAUCCGGCCUGAGAGGGCGGACGGACACACUGGGACUGAGACACGGCCCAGACUCCUACGGGAGGCAGCAGUGGGGAAUUGUUCGCAAUGGGCGCAAGCCUGACGACGCAACGCCGCGUGGAGGAUGAAGACCUUCGGGUCGUAAACUCCUUUCGAUCGAGACGAAUGGCCUCCGGGUGAACAAUCCGGAGGAAUGACGGUACCGAGAGAAGAAGCCCCGGCUAACUCCGUGCCAGCAGCCGCGGUAAUACGGGGGGGGCAAGCGUUGUUCGGAAUUACUGGGCGUAAAGGGCUCGUAGGUGGCCAACUAAGUCAGACGUGAAAUCCCUCGGCUUAACCGAGGAACUGCGUCUGAUACUGGAUGGCUUGAGUUUGGGAGAGGGAUGCGGAAUUCCAGGUGUAGCGGUGAAAUGCGUAGAUAUCUGGAGGAACACCGGUGGCGAAGGCGGCAUCCUGGACCAAUACUGACGCUGAACAGCGAAAGCCAGGGGAGCAAACGGGAUUAGAUACCCCGGUAGUCCUGGCCCUAAACGAUGAAUGCUUGGUGUGGCGGGUAUCGAUCCCUGCCGUGCCGAACUAACGCAUUAAGCAUU